GCAAUUCUUAAUUCAUGACCUGAACAAAUCCCUGUGUAGGCUGACAUAUUUGAAGACAAUACAGACCGCUCAAGAUCGGCUUCUUUAGAUCAUUGCUUAAAACUAGAUUAUGAAUUUCAUCUUGUAUUGAGCUGUAAAACGUGUUUGCUUUCCAAUUGUAAAAUUUUAUUUUAAAACUCUAAACCUUUAAAUAUUUCCGUUAGUGUAAAUUCAAAUUAUUGAUUUUUAGACCAUUAUUUUUAUUUUUUUUGCUCUGUAAUGUAUUGGAGUACAAAAGUUUGGGAUAUGAUGCAAUAUUUGAAAUUUGCAUCAGUGUUUCAUUUAUUGGAACUAAUUUUGUUAAAGGUGACCUUUACAUGCUAGUUUAUAACUGUUAAAAACUUGGGGUGUGUGUGUGUGUGUUUUACUAUGAUGUAGAUUGGCUUUUUAGUCUUUUCAAAUGUGUGUGAAUUGAGAGCAAG
Pelobates cultripes (western spadefoot toad) is the source of this 461-nucleotide non-coding RNA. NCBI's taxonomy places the organism in Eukaryota, Metazoa, Chordata, Amphibia, Anura, Pelobatidae. The record is from the annotation of a GenBank genome assembly.